UACGUAGGGUGCGAGCGUUAAUCGGAAUUACUGGGCGUAAAGCGUGCGCAGGCGGUUUUGUAAGACAGGCGUGAAAUCCCCGGGCUCAACCUGGGAACGGCGCUUGUGACUGGAAAGCUGGAGUGCGGCAGAGGGGGAUGGAAUUCCGCGUGUAGCAGUGAAAUGCGUAGAUAUGCGGAGGAACACCGAUGGCGAAGGCAAUCCCCUGGGCCUACACUGACGCUCAUGCACGAAAGCGUGGGGAGCAAACAGG
RNAcentral lists this ribosomal RNA (253 nucleotides) under uncultured bacterium. RNAcentral's name for it is "partial 16S ribosomal RNA". It matches the Rfam family "Bacterial small subunit ribosomal RNA", at positions 524 to 776 of the family's 1533-position model. The record is from RNAcentral.